Molecule: long non-coding RNA, 510 nt
Organism: Portunus trituberculatus (swimming crab)
Lineage: Eukaryota; Metazoa; Arthropoda; Malacostraca; Decapoda; Portunidae
Exons: 2
Source: RefSeq, a predicted model, not a curated record
UUCUGGACAUACCUUAUUUUGUCUUCCACAGACACCUGCAAGAAUCUGGCCCGAUGAGAGCCCCUGCCAGAGUACACCCGGUAAUUGGGAUCUGGGUAGUACUGGUCCAGGUUGAGAGUCUUGCCAGCCUCUUGUGAAGUAGGAAUGAGGAGGAUUGACUCAACUUGCAUUUGGUCAAUGACUGUAUUGGCCACCACAGUCUCAGAAAUAUCAAGAAUGGACCACAGGGAAGAAUAUUCAGAAGAUGUCUCAAACCUGGACGCAUCAAGAACCUGCAACCAAAUUAGAAUAUGUUAUAGGAUAUACACACUCAUCAAAACACUGGUGGUCUUCAGCAAUAAAAUGAUCAUUGUUGUAAGAUAAAUGUAAAGUAUAAAUGACUGAUUGUUGUCCUUAUAAUUUGUUCUAUCUAAAGUGGUGCACCAUUAUAAGGGUGUGUAUGAUAAGAAUAGGAAGCAAUGUGUAGCAUGAAAUACAUAUGCAAGCAAUGUACUGCUUCACCUUGCAUAA